This 866-nucleotide ribosomal RNA is filed under the name Staphylococcus sp. Its description in RNAcentral is "bacterial SSU rRNA". It matches the Rfam family "Bacterial small subunit ribosomal RNA", at positions 60 to 901 of the family's 1533-position model. Lineage: Bacteria; Bacillati; Bacillota; Bacilli; Caryophanales; Staphylococcaceae. The record is from RNAcentral.
AGUCGAGCGAACAGAUAAGGAGCUUGCUCCUUUGACAUUAGCGGCGGACGGGUGAGUAACGGUGGGUAACCUACCUAUAAAACUGGUGAUAACUUCGGGAAACGCGGCAGCUAAUACCGAGAUAACAUUUGGAACCGCUAGGGUCUCUAAAGUGAAAGAUGGUUUUGCUAUCACUUAUACAUGGACCCGCGCCGUAUUAGCUAGUUGGUAAGGUAACGGCUUACCAAGGCGACCAUACAUACCCGACCUGAGAGGGUGAUCGGCCACACUGGAACUGAGACACGGAUCCAGACUCCUACUGAAGGCAGCAGUAGGGAAUCUUCCGCAAUGGGCGAAAGCCUGACGGAGCAACGCCGCGUGAGUGAUGAAGGGUUUCGGCUCGUAAAACUCUGUUAUUAGGGAAGAACAAAUGUGUAAGUAACUGUGCACGUCUUGACGGUACCUAAUCACAAAGCCACGGCUAACUACGUGCCAGCAUCCGCGGUAAUACGUAGGUGGCAAGCGUUAUCCGGAAUUAUUGGGCGUAAAGCGCGCGUAUGCGGUUUCUUAAGUCUGAUGUGAAAGCCCACGGCUCAACCGUGAAGGGUCAUUGUAAACUGGGAAACUUGAGUGCAGAAGAGGAAAGUGGAAUUCCAUGUGUACCGUUGAAAUGCACAGAGAUAUGGAGGAACACCAGUGGCUAACGCGACUUUCUGGUCUGUAACUGACGCUGAUGUGCGAAAGCGUGGGGAUCAUACAGGAUUAGAUACCCUGGUAGUCCACGCCGUACACGAUGAGUGCUAACUGUUAAGGGGUUUCCGCCCCUUAGUGCUGCAGCUAACGCAUUAAGCACUCCGCCUGGUGAGUACGACCGCAAGGUUGAAACU